Molecule: ribosomal RNA, 198 nt
Filed under: uncultured bacterium
Lineage: Bacteria
Description: partial 16S ribosomal RNA
Rfam family: Bacterial small subunit ribosomal RNA
Source: RNAcentral
ACGCUCGACACCUACGGGCAGCAGUUAGGAAUAUUGGGCAAUGGAGGAAACUCUGACCCAGCAACGCCGCGUGAAGGAAGAAGGUUUUCGGAUUGUAAACUUCUGAUCUAGGGGAAGAAGGAAGUGACGGUACCCUAGGAGAAAGCCACGGCUAACUACGUGCCUGCAGCCGCGGUAAUCUGAGCGGGCUGGCAAGGC